AUGAACGCUGGCGGCGUGCCUAAUACAUGCAAGUCGAGCGAACGGACGAGAAGCUUGCUUUUCUGAUGUUAGCGGCGGACGGGUGAGUAACACGUGGAUAACCUACCUAUAAGACUGGGAUAACUUCGGGAAACCGGAGCUAAUACCGGAUAAUAUUUUGAACCGCAUGGUUCAAAAGUGAAAGACGGUCUUGCUGUCACUUAUAGAUGGAUCCGCGCUGCAUUAGCUAGUUGGUAAGGUAACGGCUUACCAAGGCAACGAUGCAUAGCCGACCUGAGAGGGGGAUCGGCCACACUGAAAGUGAGACACGGUCCAGACUCCAACGGGAGGCAGCAGUGGGGAAUCUUCCGCAAUGGGCGAAAGCCUGACGGAGCAACGCCGCGUGAGUGAUGAAGGUCUUCGGAUCGUAAAACUCUGUUAUUAGGAAAGAACAUAUGUGUAAGUAACUGUGCACAUCUUGACGGUACCUAAUCAGAAAGCCGCGGCUAACUACGU
RNAcentral lists this ribosomal RNA (495 nucleotides) under uncultured bacterium. RNAcentral describes it as "partial 16S ribosomal RNA". It matches the Rfam family "Bacterial small subunit ribosomal RNA", at positions 29 to 506 of the family's 1533-position model. The record is from RNAcentral.